This is a non-coding RNA of Parelaphostrongylus tenuis, 81 nucleotides long. The record is from the annotation of a GenBank genome assembly. Lineage: Eukaryota; Metazoa; Nematoda; Chromadorea; Rhabditida; Metastrongylidae.
ACAAUGUUAGCUCAGUUGGUUAGAUCGUGGGUCUAAUAAGCCUAAGGUCUUAGGUUCGACAACUGCUGGCGACACACUGUU